CCCUUAGAUGUUCUGGGCUGCACGCGCGCUACACUGAUGCGCUCAACGAGUUUACGACCUUGCCCGGAAGGGUUGGGUAAUCUUUUUAAAACGCAUCGUGAUGGGGAUAGAUUAUUGCAAUUAUUAAUCUUUAACGAGGAAUUCCUAGUAAGCGCGAGUCAUCAGCUCGUGCUGAUUACGUCCCUGCCCUUUGUACACACCGCCCGUCGCUCCUACCGAUUGGAUGGUCCGGUGAAGCCUCGGGAUUGUGGUUCUUGCCGCUUUGUUGUGGCGUGACCGCGAGAACUUGUCUAAACCUUAUCAUCUAGAGGAAGGUGAAGUCGUAACA
Molecule: ribosomal RNA, 328 nt
Filed under: uncultured eukaryote
Lineage: Eukaryota
Description: partial 18S ribosomal RNA
Rfam family: Eukaryotic small subunit ribosomal RNA
Source: RNAcentral